AUAUAAGAGAUUACUUAAAUGUGUUACUUUCUUUAAGCCUACCCACAGAGAAAAAAAAAAAAAAAAAAAAAAAAAAAAAAAAAAAUAUGUCUAUCUGUUACAUUUUCACUUGCUUAGCUGGCAAACUGAUUUGAAUGAAAUUUGGUAUAAGAUAUAAAUUAGGCCUGAGAGCAGAGGGCCACAAUGAUUUUUAAAUUGCAGAAAAAUCCAUGGUUCCAGCAGAAUUUGUAAAAAAUAGAAUUUAAAAUUUUGGUGACAUUGUUACAUUUAAAGUAUCAAAACUGUUUACCAUCUUUAAGUAUUCAUAAUAUAUGCAGUAUAGUCAUCAAAUGAACAUUGCUAGAUGGACAUGUAAUAAUCACAAGUUUUCAGACUUGACGUCACAAAGCCAUUCUCAUCUACGUGACUGUCAUUAGUUACUCCAUGUAUAUUAUCUCAUAUACUUUGUACAUUAAGUACUUCAUAGAAGCUACAUUGUUGUUAAUUCAUUGUAAUGUUAUUACUGGAUGUGUUGCUAUGUAUUAACUAGUUUUAUUAGUUUGUGUUGUCUACUGAGUAACUAUGCCAAUUUAUGUCUCCAGAGGUUACCUACAACAUUGUUUCUGUGAAUGUGAAUAAAUAACAAUAAUUGAUUUAUUAAAUUAGCCCAAAACUUUGUCAACUCCAACUCCAAUGCCUUGCCAACUCUUUAGUUUCAGGAUAAAAUGUCUCUGUCCUAUUCCAGACUAAUUUGUGUCAAUACCAAAUUUCACAAUUGAUAAUACUGUUUAGUAGUUGGUGCAUGACUGAGUAACAAACAUACUUUCAUAAAAACUUUUACAUUUAUAAUAUUGUACAAUACUAUAUUGAUGUGUUAUUGUAUUGAACUCUUCUAGCAAUGUGCUCCAGCUUCACCAUUAUGAGGCUGAAUUUUCAAUAAUCCAUUUAUUUUGAAAAUUCAGCCUCAUAAUGUCUUUUGUGUGUGCCCAUCAAUCUGCAUUAAAGCAGUACAGUGGGAUUACUAAGAGAGGAAAAUGGAAGCUAAAACGCCCUUUCAGCUUCCUGGUGUGUCACCAUAGAUUGCAUAAUUGAUCAGCAGGCUGAUUAUGUAUCUCGACGUAUCACUUCUAACUGUGUAACGCAAAGCUAAAUUGAACACUAGAGUGUUUUUGCAAUUCCGAUUAUGUAAGACAAAAGACAGCCACAAUGCCUAGUGAUAUCGUUCUAGGCGCAAAAUUUUAUCGACAUUAUGCGACUAAAUAAAAUACACCCUUUCCCGGUACUACUUACUACGGGUGCGGCAUACUUUUGCACAUAUACGCAUUAUACUUGAUUUUGCUGUUUGUCUGUGGUGAAGUGAAGUGCCAUAGUUUCUUUGUUGGUAAACAAAGCCGUAUUAAAAUAUUAAUAAAAAAAUUGGUUUCGUUGGAUCAAAGUACUUGCUACAGCUAGUUUUUUGUUUUCAAUAGAAGUAAUUAAUUAAUCAUUUUAUCGUAUACAUUUUUAUUAGUGUUAAUAGUUAAUUUAUCAAAGUAAACGGCCACUUUUACAUAAAACAUUAUCUACACGAAAGUUCUUCAAAGUUUUAUCGUCUGCCUAUGAUUAAUUUAAUGGUCGUUGUGAUAAUAUGUAAAGUAUAUUGUAUAGUGUUUUGUUUAUUAAAGUUCAUCGCUUGCAACUAAAGAUGUCCGGGAAACUCAAUGAUCGCCUUGGCUUGGAUCAAACUUGGCGAUGGGUUGUUUUGGAGGGCCUUUGGAAAGUCAGGCUACUAAAUAAACCUUCCGUGUUCGCGUCUGCCAGUGGCGUUGUAUCAACAUGAAGAUGUGUGCUCUAAACUUUGAGUGCCAGGGACUGACUAUGGAAGUCUCCAUGUCGCUGGUCACCAUUGAGGUGCAAAACACCUUGAAAAAAUUGGUGAUUCUGAAUCCUUCAUCUCUAUGAACGAUUCAUGAAGAAAGAAUUAAACAAACAUUUAAUGAACAGAUUUUUUAUAAGAUUAUUAUCAAUAAUGACAUUGCAUAUGAGAGAAAAUUGUCAAAUAUAAUUUCAUUUUAAUUUAAUAUAGUUAAUUAUGACAUCACUGUAUAUAAAGAAUAUGAUUAUUAUCAUUUGGUUAAUUUCAGUAUUACAUAGUAUUAGAUAAAAAUUUUAUUGUAAAAUUGCACAUCAAAAUAUGUUUUAUUAUCUAUUAUUAGGAGGAAAUAUUAUUUAACUAUUAUUAUUAUCCCUAAUAGCCCAGUGAAUGUGACCUCUGCCUCCAAUUCCGGAGGGUGUGGGUUCGAACCCGUUCCGGGGCACGCACCUCCAACUUUUCAGUUGUGUGCAUUUUAAGAAACUAAAUAUCACGUGUCUCAAACAGUGAAGGAAAACAUCGUGAGGAAACCUGCAUACCAGAGAAUUCUCUUAAUAGGGAUGAUGACAGUUUUUUAAAUUGUAUAUAAAUUAAGAGUAUACUAAUAGUAAAGCAAUUUUGUAAAAGGAACAGGGUAUCUGCGAUCAUUACUUUCGGAGCUACAGGGAUUUAAAGAGUCAGAUUUGCGGCGCUGCCGCGGAUCCCUGAAAAACGCCCCAUACAAAAUGGCUCGAACUAAUGACGUCAUAGCCAAUGUAAUGACCGUUAGAUUUGUAUGCGCGUUCAAACAAAAUUACUAAUAUCUUUGUUAUUUGUGCGUUUAUGCUUAUAGUUCAUAUAUUAAAAAAUGUCACAUUUAAUGUAAGGAAGCUAAAACUGUAUGAAUUUUCAUCUAAUUACGAUAAAAUAUUUUUAAUAGAUUUUGAAAUUUUAUAAUCUCAUUUAUUUUGCAAAUAUCCAGACAAUCUUUGCUUUUUAUGUAUAAAUUAGUUAACAUUGACCCUAUUUACCCGAAUGUAUCAUAAAAAUCAAUAUAUUCAAACCUAGUCAUCAUCCCCAUUCUCUGCAUAUGUGAUGUCUGCCAAUGUAAUCCAAAUAUGCUGGCCCAUAUUCGGCUCCUGUCAGAAUAAGAAGGGUUAGGCAUUGGCCUUCCCUUACCUUAUCAGCCGAUAGACGUCCACUGCUGGACAUAGGCCUCUUACAUGGACCUCCAAGCACAACGACCUUAAGCCGCGAACAUCCAACCAACCGACCAACCACGCUUUCCAGUGCGGGGUCUCCCGAGUGCGGGUAGGCACUAACCCCUCUUACUGGGGGAGACUCGAGCUCAGCAGUGAGCCGAAUAUGUGUUUAUAAUGAUGAUGAUGAUGAUUAUUUAAGUAAUUGUAAAAGAAAAAAUUGAAUACUACAUUAGUUGUCUAUCUAUACAAUUCAAUAAUUUUAAGAACAAAACAUGUACCUACCACAUUGUAGGAAAUAAAUAAAUAAUGAUUUGAUUAAAAACAAUGUUGUUUAAUGUUAAGCAGGUAGGGCCAGGUAGUUCUAUAUUUGUGUAACAUCUAUUACUUAAAAAUAAAAAAUAUAUUUACUUG
Long non-coding RNA from Bicyclus anynana (squinting bush brown), 3423 nucleotides. RefSeq lists it as uncharacterized. The transcript has 2 exons. The record is from RefSeq and is a predicted model, not a curated record. Lineage: Eukaryota; Metazoa; Arthropoda; Insecta; Lepidoptera; Nymphalidae.